UACAGAGGUCUCAAGCGUUGUUCGGAUUCAUUGGGCGUAAAGCGCGUGUAGGCGGCCAGAUAGGUCUGCUGUGAAAACUCGAGGCUCAACCUCGAGCUGUCGGCGGAAACCAUCCGGCUAGAGUCCGGAAGAGGAGAGUGGAAUUCCCGGUGUAGCGGUGAAAUGCGCAGAUAUCGGGAAGAACACCUGUGGCGAAGGCGGCUCUCUGGGACGGUACUGACGCUGAGACGCGAAAGCGUGGGGAGCAAACAGG
Molecule: ribosomal RNA, 253 nt
Filed under: uncultured bacterium
Lineage: Bacteria
Description: partial 16S ribosomal RNA
Rfam family: Bacterial small subunit ribosomal RNA
Source: RNAcentral